Molecule: long non-coding RNA, 3788 nt
Filed under: Homo sapiens (human)
Lineage: Eukaryota; Metazoa; Chordata; Mammalia; Primates; Hominidae
Description: HSALNT0298422
Source: RNAcentral
ACAAACACAGAAGGUGAGUGUGACUGAGAUUUCAGAGCUGGCAGAGAAUGCCACCUCCCCAUUAGAAUGAGUUUGCAUUGUAGCUCAUGCAUAUUUUAAAUACAUAUAUAAAUAUGUAUUUAAGCAAAAAAAAUAAAAAUAAAAAUAAAACAAAACAAAACAAAAACUAAAAGUCCAUUUGGAGACCCAAGACAAGCUUCGGGGAGUAUCACUGCAUGGAACACUUUGGAAAUGUGCUCUUUCUACAAAUGAGGGCAUGUUCCCCUAGCAAGAGUUCCACGCGGCAUCAGGCAAUCUUCCUCAGCUGCAAAUGUGACCUGCCUCAAAGAGCCAUAUGCUCAGUGGCCUACAUAGAACCCUGUGCUUUGGGAGCCAAGAAAGGCACAGAUGACCUCCUCGGGUGGAAUCUCAGCACCACAGGAGCAUGUCUUGCACCCUUCAUAGCUCACCUCACCCAGAGGGACAAGUUUGCUCCCAAUACAGCAGAGUGGUUACAAGCAGGAACAUUGGAAGAGACAGGUUAUCUUGAUUAUAAUCUGGGUACCAUCAUUUCCUGACACUAUUACUUAAGUUCAUUUAUCUCUGUGCUUCAGUUCCACCAUCUGUAAACUGAGGGUGAUGGUGUCUCCCUUUGAGUGCAAUUGUGAGCCUGAGAUAAAUGAAUACGUGUAAAAUACUUAGCACAUCUCCUGGCACACAGUAGAACUCAGCAGGCAUUCACUAUUUUAAUUUAUAUUAUUUAUAUGAUUGCCCACAGGUGAAAUCAGCAGAGAAGUACUUGGAAAAGACAAGCCAGGGUGGGGUGUGAAGGACUGCUCUUAUAAUCUUUUUUGAUAUUCUCCACGUAGGGCCCUGACAUUUAUCAACCCUGACUUUCAGUAGAACAGAAUGUGAGAGCAGCGCGGUUGCUUACUCCUCGACUUUCCAAGGCUUGUGGGCACAUAAACCCAUCAAGAAACCUCUUUUGGAUGUGUGAAUGCAUGCUUUUGAGCUUACGGCUCUGCUCUGCCUCCCACGAGUUAUGGGUCUAGUAUAAAAAGCUUAUAAACUGUGCUUAUUUCUCCAUUUUUAAAAUGCAAACCUUCCCCUGAACAAGUGCAAUCUCACUUUUGGGAAUGGAUCUUAGGGAAAUCAUCUAACCAAAGAUAGUUAGCUAGAUAUAUGGAGAUGUUCACUACAAUGUUAUCUGUUUUAUAUAUAUUUUAAAAAGGCCAAGUAAAACACAAAAAUAAAAGAAAAAAAGUUAUUACAUUCAUUCCACGGAGUAUUAUGUAGCCUUUAAAAGAGUAGUUGCAAAAAGGAUGUGAAAAUAAAUAAAACAUUUUGGUUUAAUAUUAAAUUUUUUAAAAGCUAAGUAAAAAACAUUGACCAAAAGCUGAAGAACUGUACAAAAAACGAACAAUUGUUUAAAUUAGGGAAUUUACGGAUCAUAGUUUAUUGUUUAAAUUUUCUGCUAAUAUUUUUACACACAAUGGCAUGCACAGAUAAACCCAAAGGAUUAUUACAAAGCUCAAAUUAUAAUAAUAUACAUGUAAGUGCUAUAAAAUCUGGAUUGACAUUAUUAGUGCCAACUGAGCUCUAACCCUACUCAAACAGAACUAGAUACACUCUGGCUUUCCCUUUGAAAAGAGGGGGAAGUGGAAAAGUCCUAUUAGCUGAAAGCCACCAGAACACAACAUCUACCCUCAAAGACAGAUGGCUUGUGGCUGUCUUGAUAGUUCCAGGAGAUAAGGCAGAAAACCCAAAGCAUGAACAAGAGACGGUUAUGUUGCAAUAAGGACAGGAAGUCUAUCUGUCCACUAGCCUCUGAGCCUGGCAUAUGUUCUUCUCCAUUUCAAGUCUCAUCUUUGACAAACCACAGCGGGAAACUCCAGACCAUAACCUAGACCGAGUCUCAUGACUUUUCACAACCAAUGGACCCGGAGCUGGCUGUGUAAAAGAGAGAAAUCAUAUUUUCCUUAAGGUAUGGUUAUGAUCCAAAGAAAACUCAAAGGGCAAUAUUAUGUUCACUUUACUCAUUGAAAGUAAGAAGUCAAAACCUACCCUAGCUUUUUGAAAAGAAAAACAAGAGCUAUAUACGAAUUUCAGUUGAUUUCUAGAAUUAACCUCUGCCCUUACAUAUGAUAGUUUAUUCUGCUAGGCAAUUAUGACAAUAAAGUUUGAACCUGAAGAGAUAAUUCUGAAGUAGAAGAAAGAAAAUAUGGAAAAUAACUUCACCAGUGAAGACUUAAAAAAUAAAUAAGAUAAAAACUACCCAUUGUCAUCAUCACAGCCUCCACAAAAGGGAUUCUGAAGAGUUAAAAUCUGCUCAGCUUCGCCUCCACAAAAACCCAAAUUCCACACAGAUUCUGUGAUGGGAACCUAAUUCACUUUUUUCUUCAAAAAAGGCAGUUGUUACAUUUUUCCAUAUAAGAUGAGAGGGAAGAACAAUAAAACAAAUUCAAAAGAAGGCUCUAAAAGCAGGGGAAAAACCUCUCUGUUCUUAUUUAGGGUACUCAAGCUGUAAUUUGUCUUAAAAGCAGCUAGUUUAAAAAAAAAAAAAAAAACCAACACAUGCUAGAAAACCCCACACACAGAAAAAAGCAGCGUCCAGCUUUUUAAAAUUCUGCCUCUACACCUCCUUUCUCAAUGACAUCAGCUGGAGGCUCCCCACCUGCCCAGUUGCCAUAGCAGUUACACAAAGACAUACAAUGACAUCAGUUGGCAUGAUAUCAGCUCUUUGAGUGCAAACAAUACAAGAAGAACUACUUUGUUUAAGGCCUUUGGUGCAACUGUGUUCUGGGGAGCCAAUGAUGUAAUGCUAACAGGAACAGAUGGAUGCUAUGAUAUACUCCAUGGAAACAGAACAUCAGAGCCACUCAAGAUUCUAUAAGCACAAGAAUCUGUGGAAGAACAAAGCCUGGAUGAACUGGAGCUGAUGUCAGGCUGCCAAGGCUGAAAUCUUCUUCAAAGACAGGGUCAGAGUCACUUCAUAAGUUUCAGGGCAGAAUAUCACCUAUCUUAACAGGAGAAACAUGUGGGGUGGUGGUGGGUACCAGCUCGAUCCACAAAGAUUAUUUCUACUUCUUGUUUUCUAUGAAAUGUUCUUUAUACUCCAUAGAUGUGAUUGGGUAUUUUACAGUAGGAAUUGGGUAUUUUACAGUAGGGUAUUUUCAAGUUCAAGAUGAAAAUCAUUCCUACUGUAAAAUACCCAAGGAAGUAUUACUUAAAUUGUCUUAGGAUCUUGCCCCCAGGGAACUUGUAUUUCUUUCCCAAGAAGAGUAAAGGGAGGCCCUAUCAAACAGAGGCAGAGAGAGUUGAAUGGGAGUGCUGUCUCACUAGGUAUAAGGUAUGAAACAAGAGAUAAAGAAGUAUUUAUCUUACUCAGGGGAAGAAAGAGAUUUAGGAGGCUGACUAUGAGUCAGAGAGAAGUCUUCUUAUGAUCACGUCAUUUGACUGCUUCCCUCAAACCAGUGUGGUCUGGCUUACAUGUGAGAUGCCUUAUGUUUGAAAAGACAUAAACAAGGAAGUAUCACAAGCUUAAAAUACACACAUAUACAUAAAACUUCAGAUAUACUCAUAUAACAUAAUGGGAUCUUGAAUCCCAUUGAGUACCCAUCCACAUUAUUUGGCUUGCUAUAUUAUUAAGUCUUUUAGGAAGAUAUAUCUAAAAAUAAGUUAGUCCCUCCAUUCAUGGGUUUUUCCUGUGUGAAGGAGACACAGUUAUCUACAGAUAUAUCUUAAAAGCCAACUCUAGAAAAGACAGUGGAUGAUAUAUAAAGCAGCAAAAAAAAAAAAAAAAAAAAAAA